ACCUGAAAUCAAGCAAGAUCACCCGCUGAACUUAAGCAUAUCAGUAAGCGGAGGAAAAGAAACUAACAAGGAUUGCCUUAGUAGUGGCGAAUGAACCGGCAAUAGCUCAAAGUGUAAAUCUGAGGCAUCAAGUCUUAGAAUUGUAAUCUAUAGGCCUUUUAGGGAAGCCACGGUCCUAGCAUAAGUUCCUUGAAAAGGGAUGCCAAAGAGGGUAAAAGCCCCGUAUUUGGUUAGGACUGGGUGUACCGAAGGGUUCCAAGAGUCGGGUUGUUUGGGAUUGCAGCCUAAAAUGGGAGAUAAACUUCUUCUAAAGCUAAAUAUUUAUGGGAAACCGAUAGCAAACAAGUACUACGAAGGAAAGAUGAAAAGAACUUUGAAAAGAGGGUUAAAAGACUUGAAAUCGUUGAGGAGAAAAGCGGUAGAAGAGAAAUGAUUUCAUUUAGAAGUAUGUAGUUAUGUAGGUGUCUUCUGCGGUAAUGGUACUUCAUAGGGCCUAGCUGUAGACCGGCGUCGCAUUGCUGCUUUUUCUGGAUGAAGUGCAAAAUGAGGUCUCGCUUGCGGAAACGUCUCUAGGGAAGACUCUGGCCUUGACGCUGGAAGCCCUGGUCUCCAA
Molecule: ribosomal RNA, 613 nt
Filed under: Paramecium tetraurelia
Lineage: Eukaryota; Ciliophora; Oligohymenophorea; Peniculida; Parameciidae
Also listed under: 2 other names
Description: eukaryotic LSU rRNA
Rfam family: Eukaryotic large subunit ribosomal RNA
Source: RNAcentral